RNAcentral lists this ribosomal RNA (428 nucleotides) under uncultured bacterium. RNAcentral's name for it is "bacterial SSU rRNA". It matches the Rfam family "Bacterial small subunit ribosomal RNA", at positions 356 to 776 of the family's 1533-position model. The record is from RNAcentral.
AGGGAAUCUUCCACAAUGGGCGCAAGCCUGAUGGAGCAACACCGCGUGAGUGAAGAAGGGUUUCGGCUCGUAAAGCUCUGUUGUUGGAGAAGAACGUGCGUGUGAGUAACUGUUCACGCAGUGACGGUAUCCAUUCAGAACGUCCNGGCUCACUACGUGCCAGCAGCCGCGGUAAUACGUAGGUGGCAAACGUUAUCCGGAUUUAUUGGGCGUAAAGCGAGCGCAGGCGGUUGCUUAGGUCUGAUGUGAAAGCCUUCGGCUUAACCGAAGAAGUGCAUCGGAAACCGGGCGACUUGAGUGCAGAAGAGGACAGUGGAACUCCAUGUGUAGCGGUGGAAUGCGUAGAUAUAUGGAAGAACACCAGUGGCGAAGGCGGCUGUCUGGUCUGCAACUGACGCUGAGGCUCGAAAGCAUGGGUAGCGAACAGG